AAUCUGUGGUGUGGGCAUUUAUGAAUUAUCAUUUUAAAACGUUCCCAUGCUUCAUGAAAGUUUCCCCCUCUAGCUGUUUGAACAUCAAAAUUUCCCUUCUUAGCU
This is a non-coding RNA of Gossypium hirsutum (cotton), 105 nucleotides long. The record is from Rfam. NCBI's taxonomy places the organism in Eukaryota, Viridiplantae, Streptophyta, Magnoliopsida, Malvales, Malvaceae.